AUGAAAUUUUCUAAAAAAAAAAGAAAGCCCACAUCCCAGUUUUUAUUACACGAUUCGCAAAUCCAAAUACUUUCUUUGGUAUAUAUGCGCAGCGCUCACCUUCCUCCCGCUCAUGGAGGCCGACGCCAUGGCGCCGGAUCUCGUGCUCUUCUCCAACCUCAUCCACCUUGCCCUCCGCGCCGGCGACGCGCCCAAGGCGCUCGCGCUCUUCUCCAGCCUCCGCGCCGCGGGGAUCAGGCCCGACCUCAAGGCCUACAACGCCGCCAUCGCCGCCUACUGCAAGUCCGACCUGCUCCGCGACGCCAAGCGCCUGCUGCUCCACGACGUCCCCGCCAACGGCGUGGCACCCGACGCCGAGUCCUACGCCCCGGUCCUCGCCGCGCUCGCGCGCCGCGGCCGGCACCUCGCGGCGGUCUCGCUCUUCUCGCACAUGCGCGUCGUGGCGCGCUCAAGCCCAACCUCUCCAUUUUCAACAUCGUGCUCAACGCGUACGGGCAGCUGGACCUCGCGCGCAACGCCGACCGGCUCUUCUGGUCCAUGCGCCCGGCCGGGGUGCCGCCGAGCGUCGUCACGUACAACACCAUGCUCCGCGUGUACGGCGACGCCGGGCUAUUCAGGGAGGCAGUCCACCUGUUCGGCCUCAUGUGCAGCACCGCCUCCGCGCUCCGACGGCGGCAGCAACAGCGUCGUCUAGUAGCCGGAAACGGGGAACGGUGGACCGUCCCUCGAUCCGGAUUCAUCGACCCAGAAUCAGAUUCGGGAACGAGGGUCGAUUCGGUAAGAUUCGAUGCGGAUUCGGCGUUUUCGCAGCUGGUUCAUCAAUUCAGGUUCGACGACUCAACAAUCUUGGUUCUUGAGAAGGUGUUUGUUUCCAGGGACUUAUGGGUUUAG
This 891-nucleotide ribosomal RNA is filed under the name Triticum aestivum (bread wheat). RNAcentral's name for it is "partial small subunit ribosomal RNA". The record is from RNAcentral. Lineage: Eukaryota; Viridiplantae; Streptophyta; Magnoliopsida; Poales; Poaceae.